This 419-nucleotide ribosomal RNA is filed under the name bacterium. RNAcentral's name for it is "partial 16S ribosomal RNA". It matches the Rfam family "Bacterial small subunit ribosomal RNA", at positions 355 to 776 of the family's 1533-position model. The record is from RNAcentral.
UGGGGGAUAUUGCACAAUGGGCGAAAGCCUGAUGCAGCGACGCCGCGUGGGGGAUGAAGGCCUCCGGGUUGUAAACUUCUUUUGCUCUGAACAAGGCGCACCAUGGGGUGUGUUGAGUGUAGGGGUUGAUUAGCGCCGGCUAACUACGUGCCAGCAGCCGCGGUAAUACGUAGGGCGCGAGCGUUGUCCGGAAUUAUUGGGCGUAAAGGGCUUGUAGGUGGCUGGUUGCGUCUGUCGUGAAAGCUCAUGGCUUAACUGUGGGUUUGCGGUGGGUACGGGCUGGCUUGAGUGCAGUAGGGGAGGCUGGAAUUCCUGGUGUAGCGGUGGAAUGCGGAAAUAUCAGGAGAAAUACCGGUGGCGAAGGCGGGUCUCUGGGCUGUUGCUGACACUGAGGAGCGAAAGCAUGGGGAGCGAACAGG